CCUACGGGAGGCAGCAGUGGGGAAUAUUGCACAAUGGGGUAAACCCUGAUGCAGCGACGCCGCGUGAGUGAAGAAGUAAUUCGUUAUGUAAAGCUCUAUCAGCAGGGAAGAAAAUGACGGUACCUGAGUAAGAAGCCCCGGCUAACAACGUGCCAGCAGCCCCGGCAAUACGGAGGGGGAAAGCGUUAUCCGGCUUUACUGGGUGUACAGGGAGCGUAGACGGCAGUGCAAGUCUGGAGUGAAAGGCGGGGGCUCAACCCCCGGACUGCUGUGGAAACUGUACGGAUGGAGUGCAGGAGAGGGAGGUGGAAUUCCUGGUGUAGCGGUGAAAUGCGUAGAUAUUAGGAAGAACACCAGUGGCGAAGGCGGCUUACUGGACUGUAACUGACGUUGAGGCUCGAAAGCGUGGGGAGCAAACAGGAUUAGAUACCCCUGUAGUC
This 440-nucleotide ribosomal RNA is filed under the name uncultured bacterium. RNAcentral's name for it is "partial 16S ribosomal RNA". It matches the Rfam family "Bacterial small subunit ribosomal RNA", at positions 338 to 795 of the family's 1533-position model. The record is from RNAcentral.